CAAGCCUAUCUCCUUUUCCUGGAAACACAAUCAAAUUAACUUUCCAGUCACCGCUGUGUCUAGGUGUGGCCAUAUGAGUAGUUCUCACCAGUGGAAUGUAGUGAAAACGAGAUGCUGUCUCUUAGGGACUAAGGAAGCUAUCUUUCCUCUUCCGACAUUUGCUGACUGGUCGAUGCUAGAUGAUCUUGAGACCCUGUGCUGAGGACUGGAGAACUACAGGAAAGGAGCAGUAUCUCUGAAUUAUCGUGUGGAAGGUCACUUGUCUAGCCCCUGAUGACUGUGAGCCUCUUCCUCCUGCUUGCCACCUCUCAGUCACAAGACGGCUGCUGCGACUCAGGCUCAUGUCCCAAUUCAAGGCAGCAAGAAGGCCAUGGAGCGGCACCUGCCAGCUCCUGUCUCCCCAUCCCCUAGAAUCGUUGACAAAAUGAGUGACACUGCCCUGGGAUCUGGGUCUCUGGUUGAGGCCUUGGAGCUACUGCCUCUGCCUGUGAACUCACCCAUCAUCGCUAACAGGUUGCUCCACAGCCUACAGAUCUCAAUAUUUCGCUAGCACAAAACCCAAGCGGCCAGGCACGGUGGCUCACGCCUGUAAUCCCAGCACUUUGGGAGGCCGAGGCGGGUGGAUCACUUGAGGUCAGGAGUUCGGCAGAUGCCCCUGCAGGCCAUCUCUCCAGGCUCAGGAACCUAAAGAAGAAUCUACCCAGAUGUGGUGGCUCACACCUGUGAUCCCACCACUUUGGGAGGCUGAGGCAAGAGGAUCACUUGAGCCCAGGAGUUGGAGACCAACGUAGGCAAUACAGCAAGACUCCCAUCUCUACAAAAAAAAAAAAGAAAGAAAGAAAGAAAGAAAAGAAAUUAGCUGGCUGUGGUGCUGCACAUUUGUAAUACCAGCUACUCUAGAGGCUGAGGCUGGAGGAUCACUUGAGCCGAGGAGUGAGCUAUGACCACACCAUUGCAUUUCAGCCUCAGUGACAGAGCAAGGCCCU
RNAcentral lists this long non-coding RNA (986 nucleotides) under Homo sapiens (human). RNAcentral's name for it is "HSALNT0081981". The record is from RNAcentral. Lineage: Eukaryota; Metazoa; Chordata; Mammalia; Primates; Hominidae.